UUUCCGUUGGUGAACCUGCGGAAGGAUCAUUAAAGUUAUAGUCCCCCGGCCCUCUGUGCUGGAGCCUUCUAUACCACCCUUUGUUUAUUGCACCUUUGUUGCUUUGGCAGGCCUGCUCUCGGGCCGCUGGCUCCGGCCGGCUCGCGUCUGCCAGAGGACCUAAACUCUGUUUGUAUAUGAAGUCUGAGUACUAUAGAAUAGUUAAAACUUUCAACAACGGAUCUCUUGGUUCUG
RNAcentral lists this unclassified non-coding RNA (234 nucleotides) under plant metagenome. RNAcentral describes it as "partial contains small subunit ribosomal RNA, internal transcribed spacer 1, and 5.8S ribosomal RNA". The record is from RNAcentral.